Molecule: ribosomal RNA, 253 nt
Filed under: uncultured bacterium
Lineage: Bacteria
Description: partial 16S ribosomal RNA
Rfam family: Bacterial small subunit ribosomal RNA
Source: RNAcentral
CACGAACUGCGCGAACGUUAUUCGGAAUUACUGGGCUUAAAGGGUUCGUAGGCGGCCUAGUAGGUGAGGUGUGAAAGCCCUCGGCUCAACCGAGGAACUGCGCUUCAAACCGCUAGGCUUGAGGGAGGCAGAGGUGAGUGGAACUGAUGGUGGAGCGGUGAAAUGCGUUGAUAUUAUCAGGAACACCAGUGGCGAAGGCGACUCACUGGGCCUCUUCUGACGCUGAAGAACGAAAGCUAGGGGAGCGAACGGG